CGGGACUUUCUAAGGACCCUGGACCUUAUCAGGAUACUUAGAGAUGUUACAUUUGCUUGAGCUAAAGUUUGAAGCCACAAGCUUGUGGGGGGGUGUCUUUUUUUUUUUUUUUUGGUAUCAGGGUUCGAACUCAGGACCUUGCACUUGCGAGGCAGGUAGUGGAACCACUGAGCCAAAUCCUCGGCCAUGGGGAUCAUAUCUAUAGCUAAUAAUUAAGAAAAUGAAGAAAAUCACAGCUUUGCAUACCUGUUAGACUCCCAGGUGACUAUCUCUAGCUUGCUAAUCACUUUCGGUCUAACACAACUGCGUCCACAGCACCCGUUCAGUCUGGCUUUGUGUCACCUUGGAGCUCACUGCAAGCCCGGUUCUGUGCGAAGACAGGUUCACAAAGUAGCUCCUGUAGUCCUCACAGCCAUCCUAUGUGGUGGGCACCCUGAUCAUAUCCAUUUGACAGAUGAGGACACUGAGGCUUCAAGAGAAAAGCAAAAUCUGCCCAGGGUCACUGUCAUUGUCAUUGUGACUCCAGGGUCUUCAUUCAAACUACUUUGCUUUCCCUUCCACAGCAGACUGAGAAUGUGGCUUUUGGAAGAGGUAAGAAUAAGUCCAACCCAGGGUCAGCAGACACUUGCUUCAGGUUCUUCACCGUCACCUGACUUAAUGCUUGCAUCAUCUUUCUGGGUUGAAAGAAAUUUAUAUGCCAGAAGUGUUUAA
RNAcentral lists this long non-coding RNA (711 nucleotides) under Fukomys damarensis (Damara mole-rat). RNAcentral's name for it is "lncRNA (ENSFDAG00000028117.1)". Lineage: Eukaryota; Metazoa; Chordata; Mammalia; Rodentia; Bathyergidae. The record is from RNAcentral.